AUUGAAACAACAAUCAUUUCAUCAUUAAAGAACAAAUUAAUCAUUAGUUUAUACAGUUAUUUAAUAUAAAUAUAUUAAAAAAAGACCUCAUGACUUUCUAUCCCUCUUGCGUAAUGAUGUGGUGUGUGUGUGUGUGUGUGUGUGUGUGUGUGUGUGUGUGUGUGUGUGUGUGUGUGUGUGUGUGUGUGUGUUUAUAGCUCAGGAUGAGGAUUUUCUUCGCUACUGUGCAUCAUUGUUUGCUGUCCCUGUCAGCAGCGGCAGGACUGAGCCUCAGAUUACUAAACCUGAAUCGUGCCUGGUCAUAGAAGUUCUGGAUGAGAGAGACAUACAUGGAGCGUUUGCUUCUGAACAGAGGACAGACGACAACAGAGAGGUUCCCUCUGCUCAGCAGACCCUCAGUUAUGCAACACUGGAGCCCCAAACAGCCGUUACCAGUGGGGGGUCCGUAAGAGUCAGCUGCUCUUCUCCCAGUCCAGCACCACCCAAACCAGCUCAGAAGCUCCAUCUAUCCAAGACUCGGACUUCAAAAUGUGAGCUUUGUGUUCUUUUUUAAAGGAUGAGUUAAAGAGAAAUGCUUUGUC
Cottoperca gobio is the source of this 581-nucleotide long non-coding RNA. Ensembl lists it as uncharacterized. Lineage: Eukaryota; Metazoa; Chordata; Actinopteri; Perciformes; Bovichtidae. The record is from Ensembl.